UCUUGGAGAGUUUGAUCCUGGCUCAGGACGAACGCUGGCGGCGUGCUUAACACAUGCAAGUCGAACGGAGAGAGAUGGAAGCUUGCUUCUAUCAAUCUUAGUGGCGAACGGGUGAGUAACGCGUAACCAACCUGCCCUUCAGAGGGGGAUAACAACGGGAAACCGUUGCUAAUACCGCGUACGAAUGAACUUCGGCAUCGGAGCUCAUUGAAAGGUGGCCUCUA
This 224-nucleotide ribosomal RNA is filed under the name Veillonella seminalis. Its description in RNAcentral is "partial 16S ribosomal RNA". It matches the Rfam family "Bacterial small subunit ribosomal RNA", at positions 1 to 220 of the family's 1533-position model. The record is from RNAcentral. Lineage: Bacteria; Bacillati; Bacillota; Negativicutes; Veillonellales; Veillonellaceae.